RNAcentral lists this ribosomal RNA (400 nucleotides) under uncultured bacterium. RNAcentral describes it as "bacterial SSU rRNA". It matches the Rfam family "Bacterial small subunit ribosomal RNA", at positions 355 to 752 of the family's 1533-position model. The record is from RNAcentral.
UGAGGAAUAUUGGUCAAUGGACGAGAGUCUGAACCAGCCAAGUAGCGUGAAGGAUGACUGCCCUAUGGGUUGUAAACUUCUUUUAUAAGGGAAUAAAGUGAGGGACGUGUCCCUUUUUGUAUGUACCUUAUGAAUAAGGAUCGGCUAACUCCGUGCCAGCAGCCGCGGUAAUACGGAGGAUCCAAGCGUUAUCCGGAUUUAUUGGGUUUAAAGGGAGCGUAGGUUGACAUAUAAGUCAGCUGUGAAAGUUUACGGCUCAACCGUGAAAUUGCAGUUGAUACUGUAUGUCUUGAGUGUACAAGAGGUGGGCGGAAUUCGUGGUGUAGCGGUGAAAUGCUUAGAUAUCACGAAGAACUCCAAUUGCGAAGGCAGCUCACUGGGGUACAACUGACACUGAGGC